UACGAAGGGGGCUAGCGUUGCUCGGAAUCACUGGGCGUAAAGGGUGCGUAGGCGGGUCUUUAAGUCAGGGGUGAAAUCCUGGAGCUCAACUCCAGAACUGCCUUUGAUACUGAAGAUCUUGAGUGCGGGAGAGGUGAGUGGAACUGCGAGUGUAGAGGUGAAAUUCGUAGAUAUUGGGAAGAACACCGAUGGCGAAGGCAGCCAUCUGGACCGACACUGACGCUGAGGCGCGAAAGCGUGGGGAGCAAACAGG
Molecule: ribosomal RNA, 253 nt
Filed under: uncultured bacterium
Lineage: Bacteria
Description: partial 16S ribosomal RNA
Rfam family: Bacterial small subunit ribosomal RNA
Source: RNAcentral